This 251-nucleotide ribosomal RNA is filed under the name uncultured prokaryote. RNAcentral describes it as "partial 16S rRNA". It matches the Rfam family "Bacterial small subunit ribosomal RNA", at positions 525 to 775 of the family's 1533-position model. The record is from RNAcentral.
ACGGAGGGUGCGAGUGUUAUUCGGAAUCACUGGGCGUAAAGAGCACGUAGGCGGAUCGGUAAGUCAGAUGUGAAAUCCCGGAGCUCAACUGCGGAACUGCAUUUGAUACUGCCAGUCUUGAGUGUGGUAGAGGGAGGUGGAAUUCCCGGUGUAGAGGUGAAAUUCGUAGAUAUCGGGCGGAACACCAGAGGCGUAGGCAACCUACUGGGCCUUUACUGACGCUGAGGUGCGAAAGCGUGGGGAUCAAACAG